Long non-coding RNA from Macadamia integrifolia, 580 nucleotides. RefSeq lists it as uncharacterized. The transcript is spliced from 2 exons. The record is from RefSeq and is a predicted model, not a curated record. NCBI's taxonomy places the organism in Eukaryota, Viridiplantae, Streptophyta, Magnoliopsida, Proteales, Proteaceae.
GAAAUAAUGGAAAGAGAAAUUAUACCCAAAAAAUUGGAAAGAGAAAUGAAGAUUCAUCUUGAUUCUACCAAAGAGAUUUUUUUUUUUUUUUUUUUCAAAUAAUGGGAAUAGAAAUUAUACCCAAAAAAGUUGGGAAGAGAAAUGAAGAUUCAACUUGGGCUUGGUCUCUGUUCUCAUAUUUUAGAGACGAUCGAGAGAGACAGAGACAACACCCUUGUCAAUGGUACGAAAGCUUUGCUUAACUCCUCCGCCACCUCUCAACCCAUUCUUGGACAAAAGGUUUGAAUCAGGUCACACUGUCCAGAGAGGUGCUUUCCGACCUUUGAUUGAUAUGCUCCAGUCUCCAGAUGUACAACUUAGGGAAAUGUCGGCCUUUGCAAUGGGGAGAUUGGCCCAAAUUAAUGUUUUUCCAUUUCUUGGUUUGGUCUUGUUCAAACCCCUCUACAUCAAAUAAUUAGUCAUGUGUGUUAAAAAUAUUGUUAAUGAGGCAGGUCCUUACUUAGUUCAUGGUAAGUGUGAUUGCUGGUUGUGUACCUUCUUUUCAUGGUAACCUGUUCAAGAAUAGAUUUUUUUUUUUCCA